AUAACCUGCCGUGCACAGGGGGAGUAACACUUAGAAAUAGGUGCUAAUACCGCAUAAGCGCACAGUUUCGCAUGAGACAGUGUGAAAAGCCUGGAAGCGAUUCCUGGCGGUGCAUGAUGGAUCCGCGUCCGAUUAGCUAGUUGGCGGGGUAAAGGCCCACCAAGGCAGCGAUCGGUAGCCGGCCUGAGAGGGUGGACGGCCACAUUGGGACUGAGACACGGCCCAAACUCCUACGGGAGGCAGCAG
RNAcentral lists this ribosomal RNA (246 nucleotides) under uncultured bacterium. Its description in RNAcentral is "partial 16S ribosomal RNA". It matches the Rfam family "Bacterial small subunit ribosomal RNA", at positions 121 to 354 of the family's 1533-position model. The record is from RNAcentral.